This 709-nucleotide long non-coding RNA is filed under the name Citrus maxima (pomelo). Its description in RNAcentral is "long non-coding RNA (CMAX_LNC001631)". The record is from RNAcentral. Lineage: Eukaryota; Viridiplantae; Streptophyta; Magnoliopsida; Sapindales; Rutaceae.
CUCUCAUUCUCACCCUCCUCUCUCCCCCAAAUCCUCCCCAUCUCACCGAAAACUUCUCAUCGGAAUCGCUUAUCUAUAGUCGGCGGCAUAGAGCGGCACCGGAGUCCAUCAUUGGCGGCUGAAAUCACCUCUCACGUUCAAAAUCAUCCAAGAUCUCCAAAAUCAAUUGUAAAAAUUCAAAACCCUAGGUGAGUUCUUACUUCUUUUUUUAUUUGGGUUGUGAUUUUGUGGUAUUGUUGUGCUUUGUUGUUGUUGUUGUUGUUGCUGUGGUGUUGGGUUGGUGCGGUUGUGAUGGUUUGAUGAUUUGCAGUUGUUGAUGGCGGUGGUGCGUUGGUGUGUUGCAUGCGGGAUGUGAGAGUUGGAUGUUGUUGAUGGGUGUUGGAUGGCUGCUGCUGCCCAUUGGACGGAAUUUGCACAAAAAUACAGAGCAUUGCUUUUGCACGACAAUAGCACAGGCUCUGUAUUUCAUCUGUCGCACAAGUUUUUGUGUGAUCGGAUGAGCGUCGCACAAAAACAUAGAUCUCUCUGUGGAUAAUUUGUGUUUAUUUGUAUUUUAUCGUAAAGUUUAUUUUAAAUUUUUAUUGUAAUAAUUUUGUAAAAUUUUACAACGAAUAGAAAUUUGAUUUUGUUUUAGUUACAUGGCAAAAAACAAAUUGGCCAAGCGUAAUCCGCCCGCACCGAGGAAGGGUCUAGGUGUGAUGAAGUUAGG